AUUGAACGCUAGCGGGAUGCUUUACACAUGCAAGUCGAACGGCAGCGCGGACUUCGGUCUGGCGGCGAGUGGCGAACGGGUGAGUAAUGUAUCGGAACGUGCCCAGUAGCGGGGGGAUAACUACGCGAAAGCGUGGCUAAUACCGCAUACGCCCUACGGGGGAAAGGGGGGGAGGUCUUCGGACCCCUCCACUAUUGGAGCGGCCGGAUAUCGGAUUAGCUAGUUGGUGGGGUAAAGGGCCUACCCAAGGCGACG
Molecule: ribosomal RNA, 255 nt
Filed under: uncultured bacterium
Lineage: Bacteria
Description: partial 16S ribosomal RNA
Rfam family: Bacterial small subunit ribosomal RNA
Source: RNAcentral